This 502-nucleotide ribosomal RNA is filed under the name uncultured bacterium. Its description in RNAcentral is "partial 16S ribosomal RNA". It matches the Rfam family "Bacterial small subunit ribosomal RNA", at positions 29 to 523 of the family's 1533-position model. The record is from RNAcentral.
AUUGAACGCUGGCGGCGUGCCUAACACAUGCAAGUCGAGCGGUAACAGGUGUAGCAAUACAUGCUGACGAGCGGCGGACGGGUGAGUAACGCUUGGGAAUCUGCCUGAUAGUGGGGGACAACCCGGGGAAACUCGGGCUAAUACCGCAUACGCACUACGGUGGAAAGCCGGGGCCCGCAAGGCCUGGCGCUAACAGAUGAGCCCAAGUCGGAUUAGCGAGUGGGUAGGGUAACGGCCGACCAAGGCGACGAUCCGGAACUGGUCUGAGAGGACGACCAGUCACACCGGAACUGAGACACGGUCCGGACUCCUACGGGAGGCAGCAGUGGGGAAUAUUGGACAAUGGGCGAAAGCCUGAUCCAGCGACGCCGCGUGGGUGAAGAAGGCCUGCGGGUUGUAAAGCCCUUUCGGUGGGGAAGAAAAGCCUCGAGCUAAUACCUCGGGGUCUUGACGUAACCCAUAGAAGAAGCACCGGCUAACUCUGUGCCAGCAGCCGCAGUAA